RNAcentral lists this ribosomal RNA (427 nucleotides) under Vibrio sp. RNAcentral's name for it is "bacterial SSU rRNA". It matches the Rfam family "Bacterial small subunit ribosomal RNA", at positions 13 to 426 of the family's 1533-position model. Lineage: Bacteria; Pseudomonadati; Pseudomonadota; Gammaproteobacteria; Vibrionales; Vibrionaceae. The record is from RNAcentral.
UUGAUCAUGGCUCAGAUUGAACGCUGGCGGCAGGCCUAACACAUGCAAGUCGAGCGGAAACGAGUUAUCUGAACCUUCGGGGAACGAUAACGGCGUCGAGCGGCGGACGGGUGAGUAAUGCCUAGGAAAUUGCCCUGAUGUGGGGGAUAACCAUUGGAAACGAUGGCUAAUACCGCAUGAUGCCUACGGGCCAAAGAGGGGGACCUUCGGGCCUCUCGCGUCAGGAUAUGCCUAGGUGGGAUUAGCUAGUUGGUGAGGUAAGGGCUCACCAAGGCGACGAUCCCUAGCUGGUCUGAGAGGAUGAUCAGCCACACUGGAACUGAGACACGGUCCAGACUCCUACGGGAGGCAGCAGUGGGGAAUAUUGCACAAUGGGCGCAAGCCUGAUGCAGCCAUGCCGCGUGUGUGAAGAAGGCCUUCGGGUUGU